CCGGGCUUGAACAUCAUCACUGAAUAUGUAAUUGGGUAUAUCUACCCAGGAUACCCAGUUGCCAACAUGUGCUUCAAGGUGUAUGGAUACAUAAGUAUGACACAGGCCGUAACUUUCCUGCAAGACUUUAAACUUGGCCACUAUAUGAAGAUUCCUCCCAGAACAAUGUUCAUGGCACAGAUUGUGGGAACCAUUAUAGCAUGUCUUACAUAUUUGGGCACUGCAUGGUGG
Molecule: unclassified non-coding RNA, 231 nt
Filed under: Hevea brasiliensis (rubber tree)
Lineage: Eukaryota; Viridiplantae; Streptophyta; Magnoliopsida; Malpighiales; Euphorbiaceae
Source: RNAcentral